ACGCUGGCGGCGUGCUUAUCACAUGCAAGUCGAACGGAAAGGCCCUUCGGGGUACUCGAGUGGCGAACGGGUGAGUAACACGUGGGUGAUCUGCCCUGCACUUUGGGAUAAGCCUGGGAAACUGGGUCUAAUACCGAAUAGGACCACGCGCUUCAUGGUGUGUGGUGGAAAGCUUUUGCGGUGUGGGAUGGGCCCGCGGCCUAUCAGCUUGUUGGUGGGGUAAUGGCCUACCAAGGCGACGACGGGUAGCCGGCCUGAGAGGGUGACCGGCCACACUGGGACUGAGAUACGGCCCAGACUCCUACGGGAGGCAGCAGUGGGGAAUAUUGCACAAUGGGCGCAAGCCUGAUGCAGCGACGCCGCGUGAGGGAUGACGGCCUUCGGGUUGUAAACCUCUUUCAAUAGGGACGAAGCGUGAGUGACGGUACCUAUAGAAGAAGCACCGGCCAACUACGUG
This 457-nucleotide ribosomal RNA is filed under the name uncultured bacterium. RNAcentral's name for it is "bacterial SSU rRNA". It matches the Rfam family "Bacterial small subunit ribosomal RNA", at positions 33 to 507 of the family's 1533-position model. The record is from RNAcentral.